This 244-nucleotide non-coding RNA is filed under the name Paucilactobacillus suebicus. RNAcentral describes it as "Lactobacillus suebicus T-box sequence". It matches the Rfam family "T-box leader". Rfam says of the family: Uncharged tRNA acts as the effector for transcription antitermination of genes in the T-box leader family. The record is from RNAcentral. Lineage: Bacteria; Bacillati; Bacillota; Bacilli; Lactobacillales; Lactobacillaceae.
AAAAACACGUUGAGAGGAAAGAGUAGUUCAUCCUCGUUGAGUUAGAGAGCCUCAGUUGUGGUGAGAUGAGGUAGAGACGAAAUGAACGAAAAUCAUCCUUGAGUGAUUUCUUGAAAGGCUCAGCCGAGUAAAGUAGAUUGGAAAGCACCCAUUACAGUGCCGGCGUAUGAAUGUACGUUGCGAGAUCUAGUUAGUGAUAGUUAGAUGAACAUAGGUGGUAACACGGUGUUUUUCCGUCCUAUUG